This 253-nucleotide ribosomal RNA is filed under the name uncultured bacterium. Its description in RNAcentral is "partial 16S ribosomal RNA". It matches the Rfam family "Bacterial small subunit ribosomal RNA", at positions 524 to 776 of the family's 1533-position model. The record is from RNAcentral.
GACGAAGGAUGCAAGCGUUAUCCGGAUUCAUUGGGUUUAAAGGGAGCGUAGGUGGCCUUAUAAGUCAGUGGUGAAAGCCCACAGCUCAACUGUGGAAUUGCCAUUGAUACUGGUAGUCUUGAGUGCGUAUGAAGUUGGCGGAAUGUGUGGUGUAGCGGUGAAAUGCUUAGAUAUCACACAGAACACCGAUUGCGAAGGCAGCUGACUAAUACGUAACUGACGCUCAGGGACGAAAGUGUGGGGAUCAAACAGG